RNAcentral lists this non-coding RNA (30 nucleotides) under Mus musculus (house mouse). The record is from RNAcentral. Lineage: Eukaryota; Metazoa; Chordata; Mammalia; Rodentia; Muridae.
UAAUAGAGGAUUUUUCCUAAGGCCUGGAAG